RNAcentral lists this ribosomal RNA (292 nucleotides) under uncultured bacterium. Its description in RNAcentral is "partial 16S ribosomal RNA". It matches the Rfam family "Bacterial small subunit ribosomal RNA", at positions 505 to 796 of the family's 1533-position model. The record is from RNAcentral.
GUGCCAGCCGCCGCGGUAAUACGAACCGUCCAAACGUUAUUCGGAAUUACUGGGUUUAAAGGGUACGUAGGCGGCGCUGUUAGUCGGGUGUGAAAGCCCACGGCUCAACCGUGGAAUUGCGCCCGAAACUGCAGUGCUCGAGGGAGACAGAGGUAAGCGGAACUGAUGGUGGAGCGGUGAAAUGCGUUGAUAUCAUCAGGAACACCGGUGGCGAAAGCGGCUUACUGGGUCUCUUCUGACGCUGAGGUACGAAAGCCAGGGGAGCGAAGGGGAUUAGAUACCCCCGUAGUCC